UGGGGAAUUUUGGACAAUGGGCGCAAGCCUGAUCCAGCCAUGCCGCGUGCAGGAUGAAGGCCUUCGGGUUGUAAACUGCUUUUGUACGGAACGAAAAGACUCCUUCUAAUAAAGGGGGUCCAUGACGGUACCGUAAGAAUAAGCACCGGCUAACUACGUGCCAGCAGCCGCGGUAAUACGUAGGGUGCGAGCGUUAAUCGGAAUUACUGGGCGUAAAGCGUGCGCAGGCGGUUAUAUAAGACAGAUGUGAAAUCCCCGGGCUCAACCUGGGAACUGCAUUUGUGACUGUAUAGCUAGAGUACGGCAGAGGGGGAUGGAAUUCCGCGUGUAGCAGUGAAAUGCGUAGAUAUGCGGAGGAACACCGAUGGCGAAGGCAAUCCCCUGGGCCUGUACUGACGCUCAUGCACGAAAGCGUGGGGAGCAAACAGGAUUAGAUACCCUGGUAGUCCACGCCCUAAACGAUGUCAACUGGUUGUUGGGAAUUCACUUUCUCAGUAACGAAGCUAACGCGUGAAGUUGACCGCCUGGGGAGUACGGCCGCAAGGUUG
This 548-nucleotide ribosomal RNA is filed under the name uncultured Acidovorax sp. Its description in RNAcentral is "bacterial SSU rRNA". It matches the Rfam family "Bacterial small subunit ribosomal RNA", at positions 355 to 896 of the family's 1533-position model. The record is from RNAcentral. Lineage: Bacteria; Pseudomonadati; Pseudomonadota; Betaproteobacteria; Burkholderiales; Comamonadaceae.